GUUGAUACAGCUCAUAGUCAUUCCAAACUUUGGUUCUGAGAUCAAGCAUAAUCAAGAGUCAUAAGAGUGUUAAUCCAAAUCAGAGAAACCGUUAGACUGAGUUCAUGGUUCCCAACAAAAAUUUUGACUCAAUAAAACAAAAACUUUUUGGACUGACUCGAUAAAACUCCAAAAGAAUAAACAAUGUGAGUAACUACCUCCCCCAGA
Molecule: long non-coding RNA, 207 nt
Filed under: Capsella rubella
Lineage: Eukaryota; Viridiplantae; Streptophyta; Magnoliopsida; Brassicales; Brassicaceae
Description: long non-coding RNA (CRUB_LNC003139)
Source: RNAcentral